GAGGGGAAUAUUGGACAAUGGGCGAAAGCCUGAUCCAGCCAUGCCGCGUGUGUGAAGAAGGUCUUCGGAUUGUAAAGCACUUUAAGUUGGGAGGAAGGGCAGUAAGUUAAUACCUUGCUGUUUUGACGUUACCGACAGAAUAAGCACCGGCUAACUUCGUACCAGCAGCCGCGGUAAUACGAAGGGUGCAAGCGUUAAUCGGAAUUACUGGGCGUAAAGCGCGCGUAGGUGGUGUUGUAAGUUGGAAGUGAAAUCCCCGGGCUCAACCUGGGAACUGCCUCCAAAACUGCAUGACUAGAGUACGGUAGAGGGUAGUGGAAUUUCCUGUGUAGCGGUGAAAUGCGUAGAUAGAGGAAGGAACACCAGUGGCGAAGGCGACUACCUGGACUGAUACUGACACUGAGGUGCGAAAGCGUGGGGAGCAAACAGGAUUAGAUACCCCAGUAGUCC
This 450-nucleotide ribosomal RNA is filed under the name uncultured bacterium. RNAcentral's name for it is "partial 16S ribosomal RNA". It matches the Rfam family "Bacterial small subunit ribosomal RNA", at positions 354 to 796 of the family's 1533-position model. The record is from RNAcentral.